UAUACAUGACAGCAGAAUGCAUUUCGAUUCAUAGUACACAAAUGGAGCACAAUUUUUCAUUUCUUCUGGUUGUACAAGAAGUAGAGUCACACAUUUGGGUCAUCAUACAUUUACCUAGGGUAAUAUUGUCUUACUGCAGCCUACUUAGAAACAGUGCAGUGUAGAAUCUUAGGCCAAGUCUGACACACAAGAUCGUUUUCUCUAUUCAGAGCCUAUUUGUCUCUGGAUUAUGGUGGAAAUAGGAAAAUGAAAUGUGUUUCUCAACAUAUAGAAGUUUCAAGGAAAGAAUGUAGAAUUAGUAUGACUGAAAUUUUAAAAAAUUUCAGGAAAUUGAGCCCAGAAGAUCUUGGCUCUUGCUAGUCUGUGGUAUGGCUCGACAGAUAAAAUCUAGAAGGCCAAUUGGGGAUAGAAUUAAGGACCUUCAAAAGUCUAAAGGUUCCAGGAGGUGUACCUUCUUUGUCAGCUAUUAGAAACUUCUAAGGAAUGGCAGAAUUGUAUUCAGAAGUUCAUCUAAAUUUUAGUAGAACAAACACUGCACUGGUUGGGAUCUUGGUCUUCUUCCUAUAACUUCUCUCUCAGUCUUCUAUUUCAUGAAAAAAAUAUCCAGGCAUUGUUUUGGAACAUUAGAAAAGAGUGUUAAUUGUUAGGAAACAAACAUGUUUGUCAUGAAAAAAUAAGCCCUUAAACUUAAAAAGAAAGAUUCUUUACUAGGAGAAUGGCAUGGAUAUUGAAAACCUCGGUUUCAAGAAGCAUUUUAUGAAGUUGCAUUCUGUCUUUGUGGAUAAGGUCAUCAAAGUGGGAUGAGUGAGUUAGACAGCUGAUGAAAUAACCAUAUCUAAAGGUCUGUGGAUCUGUUAAGCUGAGGAGACUCCUGGGUAGAUGGCUGCAUUCAUCUGCCCUUGCCCUAUAUUAUUUCUCAUUGGUAUCCAUGACGCAGAUAGAAUGCUUUUCAGUUUUUUCUGAUGACUUCACUGGGAGAUAUAGACAGUAUAGG
This 994-nucleotide long non-coding RNA is filed under the name Marmota monax (woodchuck). Lineage: Eukaryota; Metazoa; Chordata; Mammalia; Rodentia; Sciuridae. The record is from RNAcentral.